GAGAGCGGGAGGUACCAACUCCCGGUGGAAAAACCUGAAAGUAUGCUUUGAUUCGCCCAAGUUUUCCUGAAGCUUAGCAGAACGUGUAGUCCUAUUGCAUCCUGCCGCGAGUCUGAACGGGAGUCACCGGGAGUACUGUGUCUUGCCGGAAAUCCUCUCCGGUAAAAUAGGCACCUGUCCAAGAAAAUAGAACACACCCACAAAAAGCAGGGGAGAGAAUAAAAAGAAAAGAGCAUGAGUUGCCGGAAAAAUUUCCGGCGAAAAGCAAGAAUUCCAGACCUCUAAACAGCAACAAGAUCUGCUGUGAAUAAGCAGUGAGAAGAAGGAGAUGAGGUGGCUAAGUGAACAGUAGAGAAUGAAAGUGACCAGGGGAAUAUUCCGGGAGUACCAAGUUGGUCGGAAUUGUGGGGGGAAAAAACUGUCUAAAAGGAGCCGGGGGAAAAAGUGACGGGAAGUACAUUCACGCGCGCGGCGCGUGGCUGGCAGUGGCGGCGUGUGGGUGGGCAGUGGCGGCGCGUGGGGAAGAUUCCGGUGACGGAAUUUGCAGGGGGUGUGCGCCUGACGCUGUGUGUCUCGAUGGUGUGGGAGGUGACAAAGAGAGACUACCGUGAGAGACCACUGUAGGCUAUUGACGGAACAGUGUUCCGAGCAGCGAGAGAGAGAGAGAGGUACUUACCUGAUGGUUCCGGCGACUCGCCAGAAGGUGGUGGUGCCGAGGGUGUUAGCCUGAGGGAGAAUUCGAAGAGAGAGAG
This 752-nucleotide long non-coding RNA is filed under the name Nicotiana benthamiana. RNAcentral's name for it is "long non-coding RNA (NBEN_LNC004945)". Lineage: Eukaryota; Viridiplantae; Streptophyta; Magnoliopsida; Solanales; Solanaceae. The record is from RNAcentral.